GAUGAACGCUGGCGGCGUGCCUAAUACAUGCAAGUCGAGCGAACGGACGAGAAGCUUGCCUCUCUGAUGUUAGCGGCGGACGGGUGAGUAACACGUGGAUAACCUACCUAUAAGACUGGGAUAACUUCGGGAAACCGGAGCUAAUACCGGAUGAUAUUUUGAACCGCAUGGUUCAAAAGUGAAUGACGGUCUUGCUGUCACUUAUAGAUGGAUCCGCGCUGCAUUAGCUAGUUGGUAAGGUAACGGCUUACCAAGGCAACGAUGCAUAGCCGACCUGAGAGGGUGAUCGGCCACACUGGAACUGAGACACGGUCCAGACUCCUACGGGAGGCAGCAGUAGGGAAUCUUCCACAAAGGGCGAGAGCCUGACGGAGCAACGCCGCGUGAGUGAUGAAGGUCUUCGGAUCGUAAAACUCUGUUAUUAGGGAAGAACAUAUGUGUAAGUAACUGUGCACAUCUUGACGGUACCUAAUCAGAAAGCCACGGCUAACUACGUG
This 497-nucleotide ribosomal RNA is filed under the name uncultured bacterium. Its description in RNAcentral is "partial 16S ribosomal RNA". It matches the Rfam family "Bacterial small subunit ribosomal RNA", at positions 28 to 507 of the family's 1533-position model. The record is from RNAcentral.